GACGAACGCUGGCGGCGUGCUUAACACAUGCAAGUCGAACGGAAAGGCCCUGCUUUUGUGGGGUGCUCGAGUGGCGAACGGGUGAGUAACACGUGAGUAACCUGCCCUUGACUUUGGGAUAACUUCAGGAAACUGGGGCUAAUACCGGAUAGGAGCUCCUGCUGCAUGGUGGGGGGUGGAAAGUUUCGGCGGUUGGGGAUGGACUCGCGGCUUAUCAGCUUGUUGGUGGGGUAGUGGCUUACCAAGGCUUUGACGGGUAGCCGGCCUGAGAGGGUGACCGGCCACAUUGGGCCUGAGAUACGGACCAGACUCCUACGGGAGGCAGCAGUGGGGAAUAUUGCACAAUGGGCGGAAGCCUGAUGCAGCAACGCCGCGGUCGGGAUGACGGCCUUCGGGUUGUAAACCGCUUUCGCCUGUGACGAAGCGUGAGUGACGGUAAUGGGUAAAGAAGCACCGGCUAACUACGUG
This 468-nucleotide ribosomal RNA is filed under the name uncultured bacterium. RNAcentral describes it as "partial 16S ribosomal RNA". It matches the Rfam family "Bacterial small subunit ribosomal RNA", at positions 28 to 507 of the family's 1533-position model. The record is from RNAcentral.